This 497-nucleotide ribosomal RNA is filed under the name uncultured bacterium. RNAcentral describes it as "partial 16S ribosomal RNA". It matches the Rfam family "Bacterial small subunit ribosomal RNA", at positions 28 to 507 of the family's 1533-position model. The record is from RNAcentral.
GAUGAACGCUGGCGGCGUGCCUAAUACAUGCAAGUCGAGCGAACAGACGAGGAGCUUGCUCCUCUGACGUUAGCGGCGGACGGGUGAGUAACACGUGGAUAACCUACCUAUAAGACUGGGAUAACUUCGGGAAACCGGAGCUAAUACCGGAUAAUAUAUUGAACCGCAUGGUUCCAUAGUGAAAGACGGUUUUGCUGUCACUUAUAGAUGGAUCCGCGCCGCAUUAGCUAGUUGGUAGGGUAACGGCUUACCAAGGCAACGAUGCGUAGCCGACCUGAGAGGGUGAUCGGCCACACUGGAACUGAGACACGGUCCAGACUCCUACGGGAGGCAGCAGUAGGGAAUCUUCCGCAAUGGGCGAAAGCCUGACGGAGCAACGCCGCGUGAGUGAUGAAGGUGUUCGGAUCGUAAAACUCUGUUAUUAGGGAAGAACAAAUGUGUAAGUAACUAUGCACGUCUUGACGGUACCUAAUCAGAAAGCCACGGCUAACUACGUG